UCCUGCCCUUCAUCUUCGUGUUUUCCUCGCUUCCUUUAUUUCGCCGUAUUCUGUUGUCUUUCAAACAUGAAGGACGUCCGGAACGUCGGACAGACACCUGCGAGACGUCCUCAUCAUCCUUACGUUUUCUUUCUAGCAAUUUACAUGUCAAAUUCUUCCUUUUCUCUCGCGAUACAGGCGGGAAAUUUUUGACAGCUGGACGCGAUUUCAUGGAAUUUUCCUUCCUUUUUGUUCGAUCGAGAUCUCUCGCCGGUCGAUCAUCUUUAAGCAUUAACGACGAGAGAGAGGGAGAAGGAAGAGAUACGUUCUCCCGCGGAGAACGCACCGAAUCGUCGGAACUGCGUCGCAUACGGCAGGGGUUGGGGGAGGGAGGGGGGAGGAAGUAUCGAUUCUCGAGCCCGCAUUCCCGCGGCGCGCGCGAAUCGUCCGAACGCUCUUAAUUUUCGUUCCGCGAUUGAUCGAAGUCGAUGUCGAGACGCAGCAAAUAUAUACAUAUAUAUUGUCUUUCUCUUAGUAGAUUUUAUCGUCACGUCAGAGUAAUUAUUUCGAAAAUUUUUGCAUAAUUUUUCGCACAUUCAUAGUUUUGAUAUUAAUCGUUAUCAAUGUGAUGUGUUGUUUAAUAAUAAUAUUAUGAAUAAUACUAAUUGAAAGUAUCUUGUGUAAUUCUGAUGUAGUAUAUAAGGAUUGUUGGUUCUUUAUAUAUGCAUUUUUUUUUUGCAUUUAUUAUAUAAAAUAGGAAUAUAAAGAGAAAGCUGAGUCCGCGUUAUAAAUAUUAGAGACAAAAAAGAAAAAUACGGCCAAAGCGCGAUCAUCUUCAAUAAACCAUUCAAUACAUAACCGCAAUAAUAAUUAUCAGGGCCAGAGAUACACGAGGAUGAAAUGUCAAGCUUAGGAGGAAAUAUGUAGGAAGAGAAGAAAUAAAAAAACAGGAGACACAAUAGGAAAAUAGAUGGGAACAGGAGCUCGAACGAGCAGAUUUAUUUAUACGAUGCCGAAAUAUUUUGGAGAUACAGAAACGGACGCUGUAUUUAAUUCUAAGUAUAGCGAGUACUCGGAGCGUCCGACACCAAUUGCGUAUUCCGGUCGUUGCUACCGGUCGAAAGUACAUAGCGGAAAGUUCGGUAUCGUCAGCUUGGUCAGCAAAUGGUUACACUUGAGCGUAAAGAGAGAGCGAGAGGGAGGAGACGGUGUCCGCCCUUCGUACAAAAGAGAGAAAGAGAACACUUCUCGAUCGAACGUGGCAAAAUCAUCAUCGCGUUACUCUUCGUUCAACGAUUUUGCCCCUAUUCGAUUUUUCGCCGCGAUUUCAUCUGCGAUUCUCCAAAAUGUCAGUUUUUAUCUCGAUAGUUUAUUCGUGCUCUUUAUUAGCCAAAUAAUUGUCUAUACUUUUCUCUUUUAUCGCGAGCGAGUAUAUUUUUGUCAUUUUUCAAUUAUAUAAGAAAAAUUAGUGUAAAUACGAAGAGAAGAUCUACUAAAGACUAUUUGCGAUCUAUAUAUUUUUCGCAAUUUUUCUAUCUA
Nylanderia fulva is the source of this 1518-nucleotide long non-coding RNA. RefSeq lists it as uncharacterized. Lineage: Eukaryota; Metazoa; Arthropoda; Insecta; Hymenoptera; Formicidae. The record is from RefSeq and is a predicted model, not a curated record.